UCCAAGAUGAGACCUCCCAUUGCGCAAGCAAGUAAGACCCCUCGAAGACGACGAGGUUGAUAGACCGGGAGUGCAAGCAUGGCGACAUGUUCAGCGGACCGGCACUAAUAGGUCGAGGACUUGACCGA
RNAcentral lists this ribosomal RNA (128 nucleotides) under Kandleria vitulina. RNAcentral describes it as "23S rRNA. Bacterial LSU". It matches the Rfam family "Bacterial large subunit ribosomal RNA", at positions 2798 to 2925 of the family's 2925-position model. Lineage: Bacteria; Bacillati; Bacillota; Erysipelotrichia; Erysipelotrichales; Coprobacillaceae. The record is from RNAcentral.